AGUGAACGCUGGCGGUAGGCCUAACACAUGCAAGUCGAACGGCAGCACAGUAAGAGCUUGCUCUUACGGGUGGCGAGUGGCGGACGGGUGAGGAAUACAUCGGAAUCUACUUUUUCGUGGGGGAUAACGUAGGGAAACUUACGCUAAUACCGCAUACGACCUACGGGUGAAAGCAGGGGAUCUUCGGACCUUGCGCGAUUGAAUGAGCCGAUGUCGGAUUAGCUAGUUGGCGGGGUAAAGGCCCACCAAGGCGACGAUCCGUAGCUGGUCUGAGAGGAUGAUCGCCCACACUGGACUUGAGACACGGUCCAGCCCCUAACGGAAGCCAGAGGUGGGAAUUAUUGGCCAAUGGGCGCAAGCCUGAUCAAGCCAUACCGCGUGGGUGAAGAAGGCCUCCGGUUGGUAAAGCCCUUUUGUUGGGAAAGAAAACAGGCAGGUUAAUCCCCCGCUGUUCGGCGGUACCCCAAAGAAUAAGAACCGCUAACUUCGUG
RNAcentral lists this ribosomal RNA (491 nucleotides) under uncultured bacterium. RNAcentral's name for it is "partial 16S ribosomal RNA". It matches the Rfam family "Bacterial small subunit ribosomal RNA", at positions 29 to 507 of the family's 1533-position model. The record is from RNAcentral.